Non-coding RNA from Taeniopygia guttata (zebra finch), 368 nucleotides. The record is from RefSeq and is a predicted model, not a curated record. Lineage: Eukaryota; Metazoa; Chordata; Aves; Passeriformes; Estrildidae.
CCGGGCACGGAACUCAUCAUGGCCCCGGGCACCCAGAGCCCCAACAGACACCGAGUGCAGAGCCAUCACUCGGCAACCUGGGAACCCCAGAGCUUCCCUUGGCAAAGCAGGCACAAGCACCCUGCACACAACCCUUGUCAAAUACAGAUUUGGGUGACAGGACCCAUGGAUGUUUUCACUAUACGCUGCAGUGAGAUCUGGGAAAUACUUGUUCGGCCUUGGCCUUGACAUACCACCUGGGAUCAGCUCUUUCUUUUCUUGGGUGAUCUCAAGCACACACAUUUGUGACAAUUACUUUGGGGGCAACGUGUCAUAUCAGCUAAUAUUUAUUUACUGAUUUAGUGAGAAAUAAAUCCACACUGCUCGAA